GGGGGCGAAAGGGCUCGACGGGGGUCACGAGGAUCAGGUUGCAUGUCGUGGUUCCGUCACCACGGAAAAAGGCGGAAAAAAACACAAACGCCAAUAACGAACUGGCACUCGCCGCUUAAUUAACUAAGCGGCACGCUGCCCUGAAGUAGCCUGUGCUUCAGGUCACAGCGUCAUACAGCAGGCUGGCCCUGGGGAAAUUCUCCUGACAUCGGGGCGAGACACAAGGGGAUGGGAUUCCGGGACGCCUGCCUGACGGCAGCCCGGAAUUCGAGAUGAAAUAGUCAGGAUACACAUGUAGAAGCCUGAGAGUAGUACUUUCGGACGCGGGUUCAAUUCCCGCCGCCUCCACCA
Molecule: transfer-messenger RNA, 351 nt
Filed under: Nitrospirota bacterium
Lineage: Bacteria; Pseudomonadati; Nitrospirota
Also listed under: 1 other name
Description: Nitrospirae bacterium (sediment metagenome) transfer-messenger RNA
Rfam family: transfer-messenger RNA
About the family: Bacterial tmRNA, also known as 10Sa RNA or SsrA, is named for its dual tRNA and mRNA-like properties. Its role is to liberate the mRNA from a stalled ribosome.
Source: RNAcentral